This 435-nucleotide ribosomal RNA is filed under the name uncultured bacterium. RNAcentral describes it as "partial 16S ribosomal RNA". It matches the Rfam family "Bacterial small subunit ribosomal RNA", at positions 29 to 507 of the family's 1533-position model. The record is from RNAcentral.
AACGAACGCUGGCGGCAUGCCUAACACAUGCAAGUCGAACGAUUGCCUUCGGGUGAUAGUGGCGCACGGGUGCGUAACGCGUGGGAAUCUGCCCUUAGGUUCGGAAUAACAGCUGGAAACGGCUGCUAAUACCGGAUGAUAUCGCGAGAUCAAAGAUUUAUCGCCUGAGGAUGAGCCCGCGUUGGAUUAGGUAGUUGGUGGGGUAAAGGCCUACCAAGCCGACGAUCCAUAGCUGGUCUGAGAGGAUGAUCAGCCACACUGGGACUGAGACACGGCCCAGACUCCUACGGGAGGCAGCAGUGGGGAAUAUUGGACAAUGGGCGCAAGCCUGAUCCAGCAAUGCCGCGUGAGUGAUGAAGGCCCUAGGGUUGUAAAGCGCUUUUACCCGGGAAGAUAAUGACUGUACCGGGAGAAUAAGCCCCGGCUAACUCCGUG